Hippocampus zosterae (dwarf seahorse) is the source of this 3168-nucleotide long non-coding RNA. RefSeq lists it as uncharacterized. The transcript is spliced from 3 exons. The record is from RefSeq and is a predicted model, not a curated record. NCBI's taxonomy places the organism in Eukaryota, Metazoa, Chordata, Actinopteri, Syngnathiformes, Syngnathidae.
UGUUCCUCCUCAAAAGCUCAUUUACUUUCCUGUUAAGGAAACGCACCCGUGGCGAAAGCCAAACGUGGAAAGGUUUUUACAUCCUGGACCUGAAUUUGACACCUCUGAAAAUAAAUGAUCCAAGAAGCUAUUUGGCGUUCCUGAAGCUAUAUUCACCUCUGAGGCAAAUACACAAUGUUGUCAUCAACAAGGGUUAUUGCGAUGGAUCCAAAUUUAUACCGAAGGCCAAAUUUAUAUCAUCUACUAACCUAUGUGUCCCACACAUGCUGCACACCCCUAAUGGUCAUCAGGAAUAAAUGAUGACCAUCUGACCAGUACACUUUGUUCAUGUGCAGCAGUGGGGAAACAAUUACAAGUUUUAUUGUAGUCAUCUUGUUGAUUUCGAUUGUGCAAAGUGGCAGUUAUCAUGAAUAACAAGCAAGUGAAGCCAUCGCAUCGAUCAUGAUACGUAGAUUAUGCGCUAUAAAUUACUUAAAUGACAUUUUCAUUUGGGCUAACUGUACGACAAAACAAUCACAAAUAUUUGGCGGCAUCCAGUUUCAUUAAUCUCACCAUUCAGUGCAAUCCCAUGCUUGUUACAGUAGCAAAAAUAAAGAUAAACUUUGUUUCAAAGUCUGAUUUGCUGGGUAAAAGCCUCAUUUUGUUUGUCUUGCAGAUGACGGCCAUCAGGCUCACUCAGAAGAGGCUUCCUCCCCAGGGAACCGGUUUCAGAUGGUGUUUUAGAGUAUAAAAUCCUAUCUAGCACCAUUUGAAAUCGGUGUUCUUGAGUAGGAACACACUUCAGGGGACACCAACAGCAAAGGUGCCUCAUUCAAGAAAUUGUCCAGACUCUCCAAGGAUGACCGUUUUCCUCUGGUGUUCAGAGUUGCCAUCAUGUCUAGCACCAUUUGAAAUCGGUUACAAUGGAGAGGGAAGCUCCACGCAGCUUUGUUGUUGCGCUGCCCUACACCGCCAGCAGGUGGCAAACGUGUCACAUCAUGCAGGGCUGCCCAACGGUCCCUGGGGGUGCUUGGAGCCUAUCCCAGCUGUCUUUGGCAAUCGGUUGGGGACACCCUGAACUGUUUGCCAGCCAAUCGCAGGGCACACAUAGACGAACAACCAUCCACGCUCCAACUCUCACAUAGGGACAAUUUGGAGUGUUCAAUAAGCCUGCCAUGCAUGUUUUUGGAAUAUGUGAGGAAACCGGAGUACCCGGAGAAAACCCACGCAAGCACGGGGAGAACAUGCAAACUCCAACACAGGACGGCCAGAGCUGGAAUUGAAUGUUGCGGAGCAUGUUGGAGCCUAUCCCAGCUGUCUUCGAGCAGUAGGCGGGGGACAGACAUCCUGAACCGGUUGCCAGCCUAUCACAGGGGUAACAGAGAAGAACAACCAUCCGCACUCCCACUCACACCGAGGGACAAUUUAAAGUGUUCAAUCAGCCUUCCAUGCAUGUUUUUGGAAUAUGAGAGGAAACUGGAGUACCUGUGAAAAAACCCACGCAGGCACGGGGAGAACAUGCAAACUCCACACGAGAAGACCAGAACUGGAAUCGAACCCACGACCUCUGCACUGUGAGCACUCGACCACUGGGCCGCCCCCUAACGACAUAUCACAUAUGUAACUAAUCUCCACCGAUGAUCGCACGUGUACUCCACCAAAUCAAAUGUCUGUCGUGGACCAAAGAUGAGUUUGAGGCAUAUAACAGGUUUAACAUUUACGAUGACCGUUUUCUGAUCAGGUUCGGGAGGAAGACUGACAACACUCACUCAUGAGAAUCUUACGAUCAGGCGAUGUCACUUUGACCCAGUAGGCGGAUACUCAAAUACGGCCCAAUUAUAAGGAUGUGUGUACCUCGGUCGGUCGAGGAUGAGCCAGUAGAAGUUACCAUUCUGAAACGCGGAUUUGAGGGAUGCUUAUUAAAAAACGCAUAAAUAUUUAAAAUUAACAUCUGCUCCUGUUAUUACAACACCUAGGCCUUUUUUGUCUUGCAUUUAAAGACACAGUACAUCUUCAUAAUCCCAAAAGUUUACAAGCAGUUUCAAGUCCUUUUGAUGCAAAUAUUUAUUCCGUUUUUUUCCCCCUUUACCUCACAGAAUGUGGUGUGAUGUUUACUAAACCGAGACGUUAGGAUCGUGCGAUGGAAUUUCAUCUUGUUUACCUUUGGUUUAAACGCAUCAUUCCUGUGGAUGGAAAUGAAACAUCACAAAAGUGGGUGGCUGCUUGUCGGCAUUAAUUCUAUCGGUCACAUAUUUGAACAAUAUUACAUUUGAGGUAGGAUGGCACGAGGAGAACCUGCAAACUCCACACGGGGUGGCUGGAAUCGAACCCUGCGCCACUGCACUGUGACCACUGGACAACGGGUCACCUGUUUGUUAUGUUUAAGAACUUGGUCCUAAAGUCUCUUCAUGCCACGGGAAAAAUGCUAUUCAAUGUAUUGAUUGAAAAAGCAGACGAAAAGACUGUAUGACUAUAAUUAUUCGCUGAGAACUAUGAGAGAGAGAGAGAGAGACAGGGAGAGAGGGGAGGGACCACAGACAGGUACCAGACAAUUAACGCAAACUAACCAAACUGCUAAAUGCAAAUGACUCAGUCUAAAAAAAAAUGAGAUUUACGAUUCAGCUGGGACAAUCCAUUCAAAGUGUUUUAGCACUGCGAUAAACAUGAAUAACGACUCUUAUUCCUCAUGUAAGUGGAAUCAGAGUCAUCACAGUCAGCACAUGCUGAAUUCACAUUUCCAUGAAAGUGACGAACAAAUUGGCCUUAACGUUUUCCUGUCCUUGACAAACAGGAUGCAGACUGUAAUUAAAAGAAAAAUCUGGCCAGGUGACGAGUAACAUAAAUCUGUUUCUGGAUUUAUGUGGUCCUUUCAUUUUGUGCUUAAGUGUGUAAAAUAUGUACAUACGAGGGGAUACCUCUUGUUUUGCAGGAACAAUAUUUGAACGGGGUACACACAACUCCGAAAAAUUUCCCUUUUUUUUUUUGCCGGUCCUAAUCUGCUCAGAAAAUGGUCCAUAAUCUUCCAUUUUAAACCUCUUCAACAUUUUACGAUCUCAAGUCUUCAUGUGUGGUCAACGCAGUUCACUGCCUCAGGAAUUGUGACAUCAAAUGGAACAAUAGCCAAAUAAUAAAUGACCUGAAGGGUCGAGUACUUUUGUGUCUCACAAGUCAUUCACCACAAAUGUCAAA